This 387-nucleotide ribosomal RNA is filed under the name uncultured bacterium. RNAcentral describes it as "bacterial SSU rRNA". It matches the Rfam family "Bacterial small subunit ribosomal RNA", at positions 442 to 827 of the family's 1533-position model. The record is from RNAcentral.
GGGAGCAAUGCCGGGCACGCGUGCCCGGAGGGAGAGUACCCGCAGAAUAAGCAUCGGCUAACUCCGUGCCAGCAGCCGCGGUAAUACGGAGGAUGCGAGCGUUAUCCGGAUUUAUUGGGUUUAAAGGGUGCGUAGGCGGAUUUUUAAGUCAGCGGUAAAAUGUCCGGGCUCAACCCGGGCCGGCCGUUGAAACUGGGGAUCUUGAGUGGGCGAGAAGUAUGCGGAAUGCGUGGUGUAGCGGUGAAAUGCAUAGAUAUCACGCAGAACUCCGAUUGCGAAGGCAGCAUACCGGCGCCCGACUGACGCUGAGGCACGAAAGCGUGGGGAUCGAACAGGAUUAGAUACCCUGGUAGUCCACGCAGUAAACGAUGAAUGCUAGUUGUCCGG